GGGGAUUUAGCUUAGCGGUGUAAGUGCCUGCCUUGCGAGCAGGCAGUCAUGAGUUUGAUCCCCA
Cavia porcellus (domestic guinea pig) is the source of this 64-nucleotide non-coding RNA. Lineage: Eukaryota; Metazoa; Chordata; Mammalia; Rodentia; Caviidae. The record is from Rfam.